RNAcentral lists this ribosomal RNA (250 nucleotides) under uncultured bacterium. RNAcentral's name for it is "partial 16S ribosomal RNA". It matches the Rfam family "Bacterial small subunit ribosomal RNA", at positions 524 to 773 of the family's 1533-position model. The record is from RNAcentral.
UACAGAGGGUGCGAGCGUUAAUCGGAGUAACUGGGCGUAAAGGGCGCGUAGGCGGAUAGAUAAGUGAGAGGUGAAAUCCCUGGGCUUAACCUAGGAAUGUCCUCUUAGACUGUGUAUCUAGAGUGCAGUAGAGGGCAGUGGAAUUUCCGGUGUAGCGGUGAAAUGCGUAGAGAUCGGAAGGAACAUCAGUGGCGAAGGCGACUGCCUGGACUGAGACUGACGCUGAGGCGCGAAAGCGUGGGGAGCAAAC